CCUACGGGAGGCAGCAGUGGGGAAUAUUGGGCAAUGGGCGCAAGCCUGACCCAGCAACGCCGCGUGAAGGAAGAAGGCUUUCGGGUUGUAAACUUCUUUUCGCAGGGAAGAAGCAAGUGACGGUACCGGAGGAAUAAGCCACGGCUAACUACGGGCCAGCAGCCGCGGUAAGACGGAGGAGGCAAGCGUUAUCCGGAUUUACGGGGUGUAAAGGGCGGGGAGGCGGGAAAGCAAGUCAGAUGUGAAAACCAUGGGCUCAACCUGUGGCCUGCAUUUGAAACGGUUUUUCUUGAGUACUGGCGAGGCCGCCGGAAUUCCUCUUGUAGCGGUUACAUGCUUAGAUAUUAGGAG
RNAcentral lists this ribosomal RNA (351 nucleotides) under uncultured bacterium. RNAcentral's name for it is "partial 16S ribosomal RNA". It matches the Rfam family "Bacterial small subunit ribosomal RNA", at positions 338 to 703 of the family's 1533-position model. The record is from RNAcentral.